RNA transcript from Vespa crabro (European hornet), 2614 nucleotides. RefSeq lists it as uncharacterized. The record is from RefSeq and is a predicted model, not a curated record. The transcript has 3 exons. Lineage: Eukaryota; Metazoa; Arthropoda; Insecta; Hymenoptera; Vespidae.
UAAUAAUAUUAUUUGUUUGAUAUAAUUAAUUUCUUUUCGAGUUUUAUCGAUCAAGUUUUAUUCGAUGAUAUAAUUAUUUUAUUAAUACGUAAUCGAUAAAAAUAUAAUCACGUGUACAUAGGUACACACGUAUAAAAUUAAAUACGUAUGUGUGCGUAAAUACGAGUCUAUAAUCUGCAUUAUAUAUUCGAUAAAUUCAAAAUAUUGUUUUGUAUACCUUUCAAUGUUUACAUUUCUAAACGCGUAUAUAUAUAUUGGAAAUGUGUAUAUAGGCGUUACUACAAAAGGUCGUAAGUAAGACAAUGUUAAAGGUCGUAAGUAAGACAAUAUUAAAGGUCGUUACAUAUAAAUCGUUCGUUUCUUAUUAUUCCAUUAUUGUACGUCGUCACGUUAACACGCAUUUCGUCUAAUAUCUCUCGUGAAAAGUUUUAAUUCUUUGAAAAGAUUUUGUUCUCUCAAUUUAACAUUUAAUUAAAUAGAUUUUAUUAAUUAUUGGAUGGAUCUUCGUCGACAACAAUCUAAACACAAUGGAUCAUGAAUAGAUACAAUUUUGUAUAAAAUCGAGGUAACAAUUGAACGAAAGACAUUACCAUUUUCUUGUUGAAUAAUUCGAUAAGAAAGUUUGCCAGGAAGAAACGAGUGACAUCGAGAGGAAGAAUGAUCUACAGAAGCAAGAUGUGGUGCAGCCGGUGUGCGGAAUUUUAAUAUAAGAAGAAAAGCAGGAGAGAGAGAGAGAGAGAGAGAGAGAGAAAGUGUUCGUGAAAGAUAGAGAGAGAAAGAGAGAAAGGAGAGAGAGAGUGUCAACCCUAAUCUAUAUGUUCUCAUGGACGCUGGCAAAGGUUAAAGGUAUAUGGAAGAGAGAAUGAGAGAAAUAGAGAGAGAGAGAGAGAACUUUAAGCUCCUCGCUGAGUACGUUGUCAUCCGCUUGGCUGAACAUCGUGCACGGAUCAAGUCUAAUGCUUCUGUUUGAUGGGAGUCUGCCUUCUGGUGUAGUCAGGGGUGCGUGCCUGCGACCAUCACUAUUGCAUGUACAUUGUUAGUUGUAUGUACUACUACGUUUUCUCUUUUCAGUAUCUCAUUACUAUCCUAUCUUUCAUUGUUGUAGAUUUUCUUUAGCUUUUUGAAAACAAAAGAAGAUUUCUACAAUGAUCUUGUUAAAUGUUUGCGUUCAUAAUACUUGCUUACUUACUUAUUGACUUAUUACUCUAAUCUUUCGUUGAACAUGGAUUCCGCUAUGUGAAUUUUCUUCUUCUUCCUUUCUUCUUCUUCUUCUUCUUUUUUUUUUCUUUUUUAUAUUUCUUUUCUAUUCUUUUCUCGUUCUUAUUACGUCAGCAAUAGGAACGUUUUCACGCGCGAUAAUAUUGACAGUAAGAAUCUUUUAAUCUUAUAGCAUUAGCCAAGUAGAUUGACGUUUGACAGGAUCCUUCUUUGAGAUGUCGGAUGUUAGCCACACCCUUCGUUCGAAUCCAGUAAAGUGACGUUAAAGUUUGUCGAAGAUAAUCUCGCGAGAUGAUUUUUUUUUCCUCCUCUUUCUCCUCCUCCUCCUCCUAUUCUUCUUCUUCUUCUUCUUCUUUCUUCGAACGAUUAUUAGAAGAAAGAAAAAAAAUAGAAAAAAGAAAAAUGUGUAUACGUUCGCAUCGACUCGAUAUUGCAAUUUGCCUUAUUGCAAUAAGUGCGGUUAGGGGAUAAUCGUAUAUUUGAAUUUGUGAUCGUAGAAUUUGAUAGUGAAAUUUCUUUUUUUUCUUUCUCUUUUUUGUCUUUUUUCUUUCGUAGAGAGAAUAGGUCGAUAGGAAUGGUUCGAUAAAAAGUCACCCUCAAAAUGUGAUAUCGUGCAAUGGCAUUCGAGCCGUUUGUCGCGCUGUUAUUCGCAAUUAUCUUGGUCUGGAGAUCGUGGCACGCGUCCGGUUUUGGGGAGAAGAAAGAUUUCCCUCUCCUCUCUCUCUCUCUCUCUCUCUCUCUUUCUUUCUUUCUUUUUCUUUCUGUUUUUCUCUUUUUCUCUCUUUCUUUCUCUCUCUCUCUCUCUUUAGUUUCACAGAAACAUCGAACGAGAACAUGGUAGAAGGUCUAAGGGUGUAGUAGGGUCGAUGGUCCGAAGCGCCCGCAUUUUGCGCGUCACACGCGUCGCUGCUCGACUAGAUUGUUUGCAGAGGCUCUCAAACUAUACCUUCUUCGUGCAAAGAAAAGCAAACAUGGACUAUACCAAAUGCGCGAGAUAAGCCGCUUUAAAUAUAAUUAACAUUAAAUCUUCGUUUCCUUUCUCAAACAAGAAUGCUGUUGGAUUUUUACUUCUGAUUUUUGGCGAGCGUCUUAUUUUUCUUUUUUUUUCAUCAUUGAAAUUUAACUUUGUCGAAAAUUUUUAAGACAGUCUCGUUUAUAUAAGUAUUUUCUUCUUCUUCUUCUUUUUUUCUUUUUUUUUUUUUUUAUUCGACAAUUAUAUACCUGCAUCCUCGCCAGGAUAAAUUGUAUGUAUUUAUCUAAUAAGAGAAUCAUCGAGAAAAUCAUUAGAAAUCUUAAUAUAAUAAUUUUUUCUUAAUUGUAUUGUAUAUUUCAUAUUUGUAUUGGUAUAUAUGUAUAUAUAUAUAUAUAUAUUUUUUUUUUUAGCAAAAUAAUACUA